GACGAACGCUGGCGGCGUGCUUAACACAUGCAAGUCGAACGGAAAGGCCCUGCUUUUGUGGGGUGCUCGAGUGGCGAACGGGUGAGUAACACGUGAGUAACCUGCCCUUGACUUUGGGAUAACUUCAGGAAACUGGGGCUAAUACCGGAUAGGAGCUCCUGCUGCAUGGUGGGGGUUGGAAAGUUUCGGCGGUUGGGGAUGGACUCGCGGCUUAUCAGCUUGUUGGUGAGGUAGUGGAUUACCAAGGCUUUGACGGGUAGCCGGCCUGAGAGGGUGACCGGCCACAUUGGGACUGAGAUACGGCCCAGACUCCUACGGGAGGCAGCAGUGGGGAAUAUUGCACAAUGGGCGGAAGCCUGAUGCAGCAACGCCGCGUGCGGGAUGACGGCCUUCGGGUUGUAAACCGCUUUCGCCUGUGACGAAGCGUGAGUGACGGUAAUGGGUAAAGAAGCACCGGCUAACUACGUG
This 468-nucleotide ribosomal RNA is filed under the name uncultured bacterium. RNAcentral describes it as "partial 16S ribosomal RNA". It matches the Rfam family "Bacterial small subunit ribosomal RNA", at positions 28 to 507 of the family's 1533-position model. The record is from RNAcentral.